AACAUACCUGGCGAAGAUGUCAAAUUUGUUUCUCUCAACAACGGAAUCGCCCUGAACUGCACCACCACCUUUGCUUCUGCUGCACACUACCACAGCGAAACCACCGCUUCGAACACUCUCUUCUCUUUGAUAUUCUGUUAUAUAGUUGGUUAGGCACGGGAAGCGUGAGAGUGAGUGAGAGUGCGGUGAUGCCGAAUCCCGAGGGUGACCGCGGGCAGCAAAACCGGGCACGGGCACGGGCCUCCACGUCAGCGGGGGUUCGGGCGCGUGUGUCGCUGCGGCAGUUGCUGCGCGUGGCGUCGGUGGCCAGCGGGAUUCAGUUCGGUUGGGCUUUGCAGUUAUCUCUUCUGACGCCGUAUGUUCAGCAGCUGGGGAUUCCGCACCAAUGGGCCAGCAUCAUCUGGCUCUGCGGGCCGGUCUCGGGCCUCUUCGUGCAGCCCUUGGUGGGCCACAUGAGCGACCGCUGCACCAGCCGCUUCGGCCGCCGCAAACCCUUCAUCCUCGCCGGCGCGGUUGCGAUCGUUGUCGCGGUUGUCGUCAUCGGCUACGCCGCUGACAUCGGCUGGCUCCUCGGCGACACCGAGGACUACCGCCCCGCCGCCAUCGCCGUCUUUAUCAUCGGCUUUUGGAUCCUCGACGUCGCCAACAACGUCACGCAAGGUCCCUGUCGAGCCCUGCUCGGUGAUCUCACUAGCAAGGAUCCUCGGAGGACACGUGUUGCAAAUGCAUAUUACUCACUAUUUAUGGCCAUCGGUAACAUUCUUGGCUAUGCAACUGGAUCAUACAGUGGUUGGUACAAGAUUUUUACUUUUGCGCUUUCCCCAGCUUGCACAAUUAGUUGUGCGAAUCUCAAGUCUGCUUUCUUUCUUGACAUUGCUUUCAUUGCGGUCACAACAUAUAUCAGCAUCAUGGCAGCUCAUGAAGUGCCUCUAAAUUCAAGUGAGGCAGCCCAUGCUGAAGCAGGGGCAGGGGAGUCAGGUAGUGCAGAAGAAGCUUUCAUGUGGGAAUUAUUUGGGACAUUCAAAUAUUUUUCAACCCCUGUAUGGGUAAUUCUGUCUGUUACUGCUCUGACAUGGAUUGGAUGGUUCCCAUUUACUCUCUUUGAUACCGAUUGGAUGGGUCGAGAGAUUUAUGGUGGUGAUCCAAAUCAAGGCCUUGUUUAUGAUACUGGAGUUAGAAUGGGAGCACUUGGUUUGUUACUUAAUUCAGUUGUUCUUGCAUUAACAUCAUUGUUCAUGGAGAGGCUAUGCAGGAAGAGAGGGGCUGGUUUUGUGUGGGGAAUCUCCAAUAUUAUGAUGGCUGUUUGCUUUCUUGCAAUGCUAGUAGUAACCUAUGUGGCAAAUAGCAUGGGUUAUGUAGGCAAAGAUCUACCACCAGCUAGCAUUGUGAUUGCUGCGUUGGUUAUCUUUACCAUUCUUGGGUUUCCACUGGCUAUAACUUACAGUGUUCCAUAUGCCUUAAUUUCCACGCAUAUUGAGUCACUAGGACUUGGCCAAGGGUUAUCAAUGGGUGUCCUAAAUCUGGCAAUAGUGAUCCCACAGAUAAUAGUGUCCCUGGGAAGUGGACCGUGGGAUCAACUAUUUGGUGGAGGAAACUCCCCAGCCUUUGUUGUGGCAGCUGUUUCAGCCCUUAUCAGUGGACUCAUAGCUGUCUUGGCAAUUCCUCGAUCUCAAAAGGCUCGAAGCCGUGUAUGAGGUAUCAUGUUCUAUCUGCUUUUGGCACUUAUUUCUUUCGAAGGAGGAUGGUGAAAAUGAACAGUGAGGUUGGUUGGCUAUGUAUAUCAUGAGAGACAUCCACAAGCUGUAGGAAAAGGGUGAAUACACUUGUCAAAGGAACGAUGUAAAACACAAAAUUCAUAUAUCAUUUCUUUUCCAAACAUCUUGGAAUCUCGUGUAAAUAUGUAAUCAUAAAAGCUGUCACCAAAUACUGGCUGACAUUUUGUGCAAUCAGUUGAGACCUUCCUCAUUGUAAAUCAGUUAUUCCUAUGUAAGAUGUUUCUUUUGAGGCUAAUUGCAAAGUAGUUGGGGCAUCUUUCAUGGGUUCUAAAGUUAAUAUUGGGCAACAUUCUUUCCCACCAAGACGAGUUGCUGCUGAUCGGGAAUUAUUCCACAUGAAAAAUUCUUUUAUUAUUAGGCAAUUCAUGUUGUGCAUUAGUGCUGCUGUAAUCAAGUGUGUGAAUCUUAUACAUUUGUGUGACUUGUUUGUAUUAGUGGGAUGAAUGUGUUUAGUGGCCAACAGUGAAUAUGUGAUUUUCGCGAUGGAAACCUGAUGGAGACCUGGCUUUAUUGCUCCUUAUUUUGGUAUAAGUAUUUUUCUUUGAAAAAGAAGAGAAUUCUUGAA
RNA transcript from Cajanus cajan (pigeon pea), 2340 nucleotides. It is a transcript of the gene named sucrose transport protein SUC4, with no coding region annotated. The record is from RefSeq and is a predicted model, not a curated record. Lineage: Eukaryota; Viridiplantae; Streptophyta; Magnoliopsida; Fabales; Fabaceae.